Long non-coding RNA from Photinus pyralis (common eastern firefly), 877 nucleotides. RefSeq lists it as uncharacterized. The transcript has 3 exons. Lineage: Eukaryota; Metazoa; Arthropoda; Insecta; Coleoptera; Lampyridae. The record is from RefSeq and is a predicted model, not a curated record.
ACAGACGCUAGUCCAUAAUCGUUCAAAAUUAACAUAUUGAAUAAUGAAUGAAGGUGUGCGAACUUGAACUUUUAUGGAACUUUGCUUUUAAAAGAUCGUACUUGCCGCGCAUUAAAAAUAUUUCGUCUAGAUAUAGCCGAAAAACAAUCAGAUUGUGCACGUAAUCCAGAAAAACAAGGUGAUGGAAUUCGCAUUUUAAGGAAAUAAUUGGUGGGGGGACCCUCCCUUUUAAACUGCAAAAUUUGAUGAACGUGUGGCACACCUUCAAGGUAUAGGCUACCUACUGCGAAAAAUUCCAGGACUCUAGGAACUUCCCCUAGUAGUUCGAAACGGUAGAAAUGGGUGCAUGGGGAAUUCUUAAAAAAUGCACUAAAAAAUAGAAAAUUCCUACACAACAGCAAAACAUCUCGCAAAACAUAUAACCACAUAUGUUUACAAAAAGCACUUCAGAUAAGAAACCACUUGUGAUUGGAAAUGCCAAGGCGGUGCGUAGGGCCCUUAGUGUAUAAAGUUAUAGGUACCUUUCAGUGAGAAAGCUCACCACCAACUUGAGAAAGGAGACUACAACCAGUUGCCACUAAUCAAUUAAUUCAUAGGGCACUAUCACUGCUGCGCAAAGUGUCGACGAAAUUAAGCGAUUAAGAAUAAAGUACACAUAAUAAUCUAAAGCGAUAUUUUUUUUGUAAAUUCAAAUCUCACUUGAUCUAUGGUAAUACGCUAUUUGUAUGAUUUGCAAAUUUAUAUUUGAUCACAGAAGUAUUCGACCGUCCCUCGUACAUGUUAUUGGAACUUUUAUUUGCAUCGUGACCUUCAAACUUAUUUUUAGCUCACACUUUUCACGUAGAUAUCAUUCAGGAUUAAUCUAAUAAAGAACAAA